GUUUAAAGACUCUUAAGAUUAAACAUUGCAGAAGAUAACUUAACUUAAUACAAAGGUGUAAAAUGGGUUGCAGGCCGUAAGUGAUCUACUCAGGAUUCAUAUUUUAUACCUACUUGGUUAAUUGGUGGUUACAUGUAUUCACAGACCACGUUUUCUUUAAUGUGUAAAGGAAGCAUUCGAAAUGAAUUUGCAAUGAGAGAAACUACUACAAGACAUUGUUCCCGCAACGCUUGCAAAAUGUUGGUGUUGACAUCAGCUAUUCGCUCCAAAGCAAUGGCUUGCCGUUCACGAAGAAUAUUGGCCUCUUUCUCUGCUUUGAGCAGAUUUUCAGGUAGGGUUUCUGGGCUUGGACGCUUUCUUUUUCGUGAAGGUAAGGACAAAUAUGGGGAUGGUGAGAUGUUAACAGAAUUCUAGAAAUGAAAGGAGGCACUGGUGAACCUGACAUUGGUGGAGGAGAAGGAGGAGUUUCAGAGCCAGAUGGUAUGGCUGUUGGUACAACAAUGGGAGCUUUGGAGCCAGAUGGUAUGACUGGUGUUAUAACAGGAACAGAAGGAAUAUUCUAAAAAUGAGACUCCUUAUGGGUAACAACCCAUGUGAACAUCAAAUACGAAAUACCUACUUCUACUAUUGAAACAGAGGGAAACUCUGGAGUUUUCCCAUCACCACAAUAAUCUGGGCCAAUGAUGCUUAAAAUUCGGCACUCCAUUUCACUUAAACCAGAGAGAGUCGAAUCAUUUGAUGGCCCAGCACCUCCAGUCCUUUGCUGUUUUGCCUUCAGUUGUGCAGCUUUAGACUUAACGACUGACUUCCAGUCACUCCAACACUAAGUUUUAUAUUUAAAAAUUUAUAGGAAUAGGAGUACAAACCCGUUGCCAUUGUUUUCGAUCCUUCAUGGCACCUCCUGCCGCAUUUAGUUCAAUGGUUAGAUUACUCCACAGUUUUGAUACCAUGGCCGAAUCUGAAAUUUGACCCCUGGCAAAAGGCAAAUGGUCAUGCAUAAACUCCAGCAUUAUUGCCUUCUGUUGUUGUGAAGCCUUUGCAGUUCGCUUUGGCUCCAUCUAAAUAUCAGAAAUUCGUUUAAAUAUCUUUCUACAACUUAAUUAAACUGAAACUGUUCUUUAAAUAAAAAAAUGUUUAUGUUAAUCAUGUUUUAUUUAUAAUAUACACGAUAUGUUAAAUAAA
Long non-coding RNA from Zophobas morio, 1182 nucleotides. RefSeq lists it as uncharacterized. The record is from RefSeq and is a predicted model, not a curated record. The transcript is spliced from 6 exons. NCBI's taxonomy places the organism in Eukaryota, Metazoa, Arthropoda, Insecta, Coleoptera, Tenebrionidae.